CCGUGGGCGUUGGAAGAUUGAGAGGGGUUGCUCCUAGUACGAGAGGACCGGAGUGAACGCACCACUGGUGUUCGGGUUGUCAUGCCAAUGGCAUUGCCCGGUAGCUAAGUGCGGAAGAGAUAACCGCUGAAAGCAUCUAAGCGGGAAACUUGCCUCGAGAUGAGUCUUCCCUGUCGCUUUAAGUGACCUAAAGGAACGUUUAAGACUAAGACGUUGAUAGGCUGGGUGUGUAAGCGUAGCGAUACGUUGAGCUAACCAGUACUAAUGAACCGUGAGGCUUAACCUG
This 286-nucleotide ribosomal RNA is filed under the name Proteus mirabilis. RNAcentral describes it as "23S rRNA. Bacterial LSU". It matches the Rfam family "Bacterial large subunit ribosomal RNA", at positions 2645 to 2925 of the family's 2925-position model. The record is from RNAcentral. Lineage: Bacteria; Pseudomonadati; Pseudomonadota; Gammaproteobacteria; Enterobacterales; Morganellaceae.